GGGCCCGCACAAGCGGAGGAACAUGUGGUUUAAUUCGAUGAUACGCGAGGAACCUUACCCGGGCUCGAACGGCAGAUGGACUAUGCAGAGACGCAUAGGCUCUUCGGAGCGUCUGUCGAGGUGCUGCAUGGUUGUCGUCAGCUCGUGCCGUGAGGUGUCGGCUUAAGUGCCAUAACGAGCGCAACCCUUGUCGAUAGUUGCCAUCGGGUCGAGCCGGGGACUCUAUCGAGACUGCCUCCGUAAGGUGAGAGGAAGGGGGGGAUGACGUCAAAUCAGCACGGCCCUUACGUCCGGGGCGACACACGUGUUACAAUGGUGGUUACAGAGGGCUGCUCCCUGGUGACAGGUUGCCAAUCUCCAAAAGCCAUCUCAGUUCGGAUCGGAGUCUGCAACUCGACUCCGUGAAGUUGGAUUCGCUAGUAAUCGCACAUCAGCCACGGUGCGGUGAAUACGUUCCCGGGCCUU
RNAcentral lists this ribosomal RNA (465 nucleotides) under uncultured bacterium. RNAcentral describes it as "bacterial SSU rRNA". It matches the Rfam family "Bacterial small subunit ribosomal RNA", at positions 917 to 1382 of the family's 1533-position model. The record is from RNAcentral.